Molecule: long non-coding RNA, 894 nt
Organism: Calidris pugnax (ruff)
Lineage: Eukaryota; Metazoa; Chordata; Aves; Charadriiformes; Scolopacidae
Exons: 2
Source: RefSeq, a predicted model, not a curated record
GAUGUUGGGUUGAUGUUGGGUCGACGUUGGGUUGAUGUUGGGUUGAUGUUGGGUUGAUGUUGGGUUGAUGUUAGGUUAACGUUGGGUUGACCUUGGGUCGAUGUGAGUUUUUUGUUGGGUCGACAUUGGAUCGACGCUGGGUUGACAUUGCGUUGACAUUGGGUUGACGUUGGGUUGUGGUUGGGUUCAUGUUGGGUUGACGUUGGGUCAACAUUGGGUUGACGUUGGGUCAAGGUUGGGUCAACGUUGGGUCGACAUUUGGUUGAUGUUGGUUUGACGUUGGGUUGACGUUGGGUUGACACUGGGUUCACGUUGGGUUGACGUUGAGUUGACAUUGGGUCGAUGUUGGAUUGAUGUUGGGUCAAUGUUGGGUUGACGUUGAGUCGAUGUUGGGUCGACAUUGGGUCAACGUUGGAUCGAUGUUGGAUUGACGUUGGGUUGAUGGUGGGUUGAUGUGAGGUUGACGCUGCGUUGAUGCUGCGUUGACGUUGCGUUGACGUUGUGUUGACCAAGACUCUUCCCUCUUCCCCUCCCGACCCCCGUACCCAAUUUUUUCCCCUUUUCCCCCAUUUUAGGAGCUCCUUUGCUACAAAUCCCACCUCCCCGGGGAAUUCCGUCUCCUCUGGCGGCGCCGUUUCCCCAGCCCCCUGCUCUCCCUGCUCUACGCCGACCUCACGGCCGACGGGCUGCGCGAGUUGGCCGUCGUCUGCCUCAAGGGCCUCCACGUCCUGCAGCACAGCCUGGAACCCACGGCCCGGCGGGUCCUGGAGCGGCUGCGGAGACGCGCGGAACGACGGGCCUUGGAAGGGUGAAGACCUUCGUCUUCCAUCAUCAGCGACGGACCCAAACUCGGCCCUUUUCACCCCAAAAAUGAAUAAAAUAACGCAAAACCCC